GCCUGAGCUUGUCGCAGUAUCCGCCGGGGCAGUUGUGCAGGAUACACGUUUUUCGACAGUUUUGGAUGUUGCACCUUUCCGGCUCUCCGUCGGCGAAUCCCAGCAGCGAGGCGUCCAUCCGAUUCAGGGCGAGCAGAGCGUGGUCCAGUCCGUUCACGCCUAGUUCACAAGAGAGAGGACUACAAACACGUACCGGACCAGAGCAAUGUAGAAUCUUGCAUUCACUACAGUCUCACUCUACUUAUGGCGUCAGCCAAGAUGUCUUACAAGUGUGAGCCACGCUUGUCUCGAACUGUUCAGUGUUCACCGUGAAAAUAGGGUACUUCGGAGAAGAGCUGUGACGGAAGUUGAGAAGAAAUCAAGAAGAACAAAUGCCGGACUUAAGUGAGAUCAGCGGAAGCGGCAGCACGGCGACGCAGACGCUCAUUCUCGUGAAUUUGUCAUAUUUCGUAACGCGCACUGAACUCGAGUACUCAGCACUACUUACUAAUGGGAUUACUAAACAGAUUUUCUCCGAACCCUAUUUGACUCCAAAUGCCGCCUGACCUUGUAUCGGCGGCGUGCCGUCAGAGCUGAGCACUGGUUCGAUGAGGAACUCGUCAUCAGUCAGACGGAGGUGUGACGAACCAUCGGCCGCCUUCACGGCC
This is a long non-coding RNA of Thrips palmi, 647 nucleotides long. RefSeq lists it as uncharacterized. The transcript has 4 exons. The record is from RefSeq and is a predicted model, not a curated record. Lineage: Eukaryota; Metazoa; Arthropoda; Insecta; Thysanoptera; Thripidae.